UACGAAGGGUGCAAGCGUUAAUCGGAAUUACUGGGCGUAAAGCGUGCGUAGGUGGUUUCUUAAGUCUGCUGUGAAAGCCCUGGGCUCAACCUGGGAAUGGCGGUGGAUACUGAGGAGCUAGAGUGCGGUAGAGGAGGGUGGAAUUCCCGGUGUAGCGGUGAAAUGCGUAGAGAUCGGGAGGAACAUCAGUGGCGAAGGCGGCCCUCUGGACCAGCACUGACGCUGAGGCACGAAAGCGUGGGGAGCAAACAGG
This 253-nucleotide ribosomal RNA is filed under the name uncultured bacterium. Its description in RNAcentral is "partial 16S ribosomal RNA". It matches the Rfam family "Bacterial small subunit ribosomal RNA", at positions 524 to 776 of the family's 1533-position model. RNAcentral also lists the same sequence under 1 other name. The record is from RNAcentral.